GCCGUGGUGGUGUAACUGGUAACACGCCUCUCGCCAUGAGAGGAGAUCUGAGUUUGAUCCCCAGCCUCGACA
Molecule: non-coding RNA, 72 nt
Organism: Aspergillus aculeatus ATCC 16872
Lineage: Eukaryota; Fungi; Ascomycota; Eurotiomycetes; Eurotiales; Aspergillaceae
Source: the annotation of a RefSeq genome assembly